GACGAACGCUGGCGGCGUGCUUAACACAUGCAAGUCGAACGGUAAGGCCCCAGCUUGCUGGGGUACACGAGUGGCGAACGGGUGAGUAACACGUGGGUGACCUGCCCUGCACUUCGGGAUAAGCCUAGGAAACUGGGUCUAAUACCGGAUAGGACCAUGGUGUGGAUACUGUGGUGGAGAGUUUUUUCGGUGUGGGUUGGGCCCGCGGCCUGUCAGCUUGUUGGUGGGGUAAGGGCCUACCAAGGCGGCGCCGCGUAGCCGGCCUGGUAGGGUGGGCGGCCCCAUUGGGACUGGGCUACGGCCCAGACUCCUCCGGGAGGCAGCGGUGGGGAAUAUUGCACAAUGGGCGGAAGCCUGGUGCAGCGACGCCGCGUGGGGGAUGACGGCCUUCGGGUUGUGAACUCCUUUCACCUUCGACGAAGGGUUUCUGACGGUAGCUGGAGAAGAAGCACCGGCUAACUACGUG
This 466-nucleotide ribosomal RNA is filed under the name uncultured bacterium. RNAcentral describes it as "partial 16S ribosomal RNA". It matches the Rfam family "Bacterial small subunit ribosomal RNA", at positions 28 to 507 of the family's 1533-position model. The record is from RNAcentral.